This 253-nucleotide ribosomal RNA is filed under the name uncultured bacterium. RNAcentral describes it as "partial 16S ribosomal RNA". It matches the Rfam family "Bacterial small subunit ribosomal RNA", at positions 524 to 776 of the family's 1533-position model. The record is from RNAcentral.
UACGUAGGGGGCAAGCGUUGUCCGGAUUUAUUGGGCGUAAAGAGCGUGUAGGCGGCUAGGUAGGUGGGUUGUGAAAACUGGAGGCUCAACCUUCAGACGUCGACCCAAACCCCCUGGCUAGAGUCCGGAAGAGGAGAGUGGAAUUCCUGGUGUAGCGGUGAAAUUCGUAGAUAUCGAGAAGAACACCGGUGGCGAAGGCGGCCAUCUGGACAGAUACUGACGCUGAGACGCGAAAGCGUGGGGAGCAAACAGG